RNAcentral lists this ribosomal RNA (1522 nucleotides) under metagenome. Its description in RNAcentral is "bacterial SSU rRNA". It matches the Rfam family "Bacterial small subunit ribosomal RNA". The record is from RNAcentral.
AGAGUUUGAUCAUGGCUCAGAUUGAACGCUGGCGGCAGGCCUAACACAUGCAAGUCGAACGGUAACAGGAAACAGCUUGCUGUUUCGCUGACGAGUGGCGGACGGGUGAGUAAUGUCUGGGAAACUGCCUGAUGGAGGGGGAUAACUACUGGAAACGGUAGCUAAUACCGCAUAACGUCGCAAGACCAAAGAGGGGGACCUUCGGGCCUCUUGCCAUCAGAUGUGCCCAGAUGGGAUUAGCUAGUAGGUGGGGUAACGGCUCACCUAGGCGACGAUCCCUAGCUGGUCUGAGAGGAUGACCAGCCACACUGGAACUGAGACACGGUCCAGAUUCCUACGGGAGGCAGCAGUGGGGAAUAUUGCACAAUGGGCGCAAGCCUGAUGCAGCCAUGCCGCGUGUAUGAAGAAGGCCUUCGGGUUGUAAAGUACUUUCAGCGGGGAGGAAGGGAGUAAAGUUAAUACCUUUGCUCAUUGACGUUACCCGCAGAAGAAGCACCGGCUAACUCCGUGCCAGCAGCCGCGGUAAUACGGAGGGUGCAAGCGUUAAUCGGAAUUACUGGGCGUAAAGCGCACGCAGGCGGUUUGUUAAGUCAGAUGUGAAAUCCCCGGGCUCAACCUGGGAACUGCAUCUGAUACUGGCAAGCUUGAGUCUCGUAGAGGGGGGUAGAAUUCCAGGUGUAGCGGUGAAAUGCGUAGAGAUCUGGAGGAAUACCGGUGGCGAAGGCGGCCCCCUGGACGAAGACUGACGCUCAGGUGCGAAAGCGUGGGGAGCAAACAGGAUUAGAUACCCUGGUAGUCCACGCCGUAAACGAUGUCGACUUGGAGGUUGUGCCCUUGAGGCGUGGCUUCCGGAGCUAACGCGUUAAGUCGACCGCCUGGGGAGUACGGCCGCAAGGUUAAAACUCAAAUGAAUUGACGGGGGCCCGCACAAGCGGUGGAGCAUGUGGUUUAAUUCAAUGCAACGCGAAGAACCUUACCUGGUCUUGACAUCCACGGAAGUUUUCAGAGAUGAGAAUGUGCCUUCGGGAACCGUGAGACAGGUGCUGCAUGGCUGUCGUCAGCUCGUGUUGUGAAAUGUUGGGUUAAGUCCCGCAACGAGCGCAACCCUUAUCCUUUGUUGCCAGCGGUCCGGCCGGGAACUCAAAGGAGACUGCCAGUGAUAAACUGGAGGAAGGCGGGGAUGACGUCAAGUCAUCAUGGCCCUUACGACCAGGGCUACACACGUGCUACAAUGGCGCAUACAAAGAGAAGCGACCUCGCGAGAGCAAGCGGACCUCAUAAAGUGCGUCGUAGUCCGGAUUGGAGUCUGCAACUCGACUCCAUGAAGUCGGAAUCGCUAGUAAUCGUGGAUCAGAAUGCCACGGUGAAUACGUUCCCGGGCCUUGUACACACCGCCCGUCACACCAUGGGAGUGGGUUGCAAAAGAAGUAGGUAGCUUAACCUUCGGGAGGGCGCUUACCACUUUGUGAUUCAUGACUGGGGUGAAGUCGUAACAAGGUAACCGUAGGGGAACCUGCGGUUG